This 218-nucleotide ribosomal RNA is filed under the name uncultured bacterium. RNAcentral's name for it is "partial 16S ribosomal RNA". It matches the Rfam family "Bacterial small subunit ribosomal RNA", at positions 129 to 334 of the family's 1533-position model. The record is from RNAcentral.
CCCUCAAGUGAGGAAUACCGGCGAGAAAUCGCCGACAAGACCGCAUAGGCUUGUCUUUGCUAGAAGGAGGCAAGCAAAGCUUAGUUUCGCGAGAAGCGGAGCGCUUGAGGAGGGCCCGCGGCCGAUUAGCUAGUUGGUGGGGUAACAGCUCACCAAGGCGACGAUCGGUAGCUGGUCUGAGAGGACGAGCAGCCACACUGGGAUUGAGAACGGCCCAG